UGCCUUCAAACAGAUAAGUAAACCUUAGAAAAGGUUUCUCUGUGCAGUGCGCGUCCUGUUUCUGGCGCCGCUAGAUGGCAGCAACGGAUCACGGCGAACUGCGCCCCUCAUCUCCCCCGCCCUUCCCGCUUGAAAAAAAUAAGCUGAGCAGUUUCAACCCAGAAAAGAGGCUGCUUAGGUUACACUGGGUCUGGGCGGGGGAGCAGGCCAGCCUGGAGGAGAGGCAGCCUCCCACAGGAUUCCAGAUGCAAACUCACCUGCAGACGAAGCCCUCUGCUUUCCUGCUGGGCCCGCUCAGAGGGUGGUGCCUGGGCACCGCUGCAGCUGGCACUUCUCCCCUCAGUAGGCUCCUGUCAUUUGCCUUCCCAGUUUAUCUGGAGUUUCAAGGACCUGCACCGCCGGAGUACUCCUUGAAGCUACCCGCAUUCCACUGUCAAGCAAGGGGCCAGAUGUGGCUGAACCCAGGAAGCCAGUCUUCGCUGCACUGCUUUCUCCCAGCGGUAACUACGAACUAGAUCGUGUGAUUAUUUCGUGAGGUUUUGCUGGGUCAAGGUGCAUUGGAAAGAUACUGCUCCAUUUGGCCUAGGUGCUUGAACAUCUGUUUAAACUCAGGGAGCCCAGGGACUGCACGAAGGACAGACGCGCUCGCCGAGGCGCCGCCCCCAAUCAAUCUGAGAAGGAGGAAGACGACUUUGCAGGAAAGCCAAGUUCAAAGGGAACCCAGGCCCACUCACCCGCUGGAAGUUGGAAACAAAGGAGAAGUUAAUCAACACCAUUUUAAGGAAGAGAGCGUAAGUAAUUUUUCAAAGUCCAGAAACAAAGCGAGUGGCUUUGUUGCCAGAGAGGGAGUCUGCGGUGCGGACGUGGCACACCGGGGCGCGUGAAUUCUGCACCCCGUCUCCCGCGGAGAAAACCCACAGAAAAUCCCGCGGCCUAAAAACCACCUCGGCCGCGUUUUUUUCCAGCACGAAGGGCGGGGAGACCGGGGCCGAGGCGCUGCGCGAGCCCACACUGCCAUCUGCCGUCCACGGAGACUGAGAGCCGCCAACAGCACAGAAACCCGUCUCUUCCACAGCCGCUCUCCUAGAGGCCUGGAGGUCCUGCACGGUGCAGCCGAUCGCGACGAAAUCGAAAAGAGGACGAGGCACUGGCACGGACCAAAAGGCAUCAGCCCCAAAGCCCUGGGUCUCCGCGGAGACCUCCGGGCUUCCGCCCUGGGAACCAUGGCAACGGCCGCCGGAAGCCGCAGCGCCACAGCGAAGCCCCGCCCCGGGGCGACCGGACUACACGCGGAUUGGCGGGUUCCGGGCCUGAGCGUAGGCGGCCGCUGAGGUCCAUUCCGCUCUGCGUCACAGAAUUCUCCCUGAAGGGGGACUUGCAGCGGGGUUGCGAGUUGCUGACCAAAGGGCCUGAGGGGGCAAGUUCCGCACCCGCUGCCAGCCCGCCCGAACCUCCCAGACCGAUACCUGAGAGCCUGACUGAAUAGUCUAGUCUCCGUCCGUGACCAUGAGCGGUUGGCUUGUGGCUUCCCGCACCACGGCCACAGUGCACACUCGCCAGUCGCCCUGCUCCCCUCCACCACCUCCCUGAUGAUUCCUGGAGAGGGAGGCAUCUGGCGGGAAUUCCCUGAGCUGCUCACACCCAGAGGCCCCAGUGCAUCUGUGGUCUCUGCGCUCCCUCAACAGCGGCUCCUCCUCUGCCCCCCUUUUCUCAGUCUCUGCCCCCGGGGAGGAACGAAGCCUCCUUGCCUCUUGUUCUCUUUAACCAGGCGCUGUUUCAUUCCCUCGGGGUGGGGCUUUGAAGACACAGCACAGACUGGCAGAGACAGGCCGAGGGGAGGCAGGGAUGAGGGUUUCCACUGAGGUGGACACAGCCUGCUGGGGCCAGUCACCGCCUCCCCAGGCGAGGCUUAACCACACAGACCGCACUGCCAGGGUCUCAGCCGCCAGGCCGCCGCAGGCAGUGUUUCCAGAGCAGAAGAGGGCACCUGGAGAAAACGCAGAAAGCCCAAGUUUCCUUGGACCUCCAGAUGUGCCCAGGUCUCUGGCCUCCCUAGGCCCACCUGCGCCCUGGGGCCCUGACACCCCUUCUGGCCCGCUGAGGGUCUGAUAUAGGAGCUCAGCAGAGUCCACAUUCACAAGGGAGUUCUGAUCGCUGGUUUAUGGCUCAGCCUCUCCGUGCCUGCCCUGAGGGCUUAAUAGCUGGGCCUCCUUGCCACCAGGCAGGACACAUGCAGGCCCAGCUCAUGGCCCAGGCUUCCUUUUCCUGAGACUUGCAACUCGGACUGGCCAGGGCCACAGAAGAGGAAACCGACUUCCAGCUUCUGAUCCCUCCCUCUGCUCUAUCCUCCUGGACAGAGAAUCCUCAGGGCCAGACAUUCCAUCUGGAGAGGAGCCCAGAGCAGCAGGCGUCAGGAUCCAGCCUCACGCUGGAGCACCAGCCCCCACAUGCACUGUGCUCAUCACGAGCUUGUGUGUGCUCCACAACAGGAUGCUACACCCCACUACCACACCUUCCCUCCUCUCCUGCAGCUUUGCACUCUGUUCUGAGGUAGGUGGGCCCUGGGAUCUCCUGACACUGCUCAUGUAGCUCUUUUCUGUGGGAGAUGUGGCGUCCCCCAACCCACACCACUGCAUGUCAGAGACAGGAAUGAGGACCCCAGAGAUGCCACAAGCCUUCCUGCCACUCCAUCGCGGCCUAAAGUCUCCACUAUGCCUACCUCCCCUUGGGAGAAACACAGUGAGGGUCCUCCCAGCUCCCUGUCUGCUCUGGAUCAAUUCGGAAUGCUGGCACGUGCAUCCGUUACUUAGCAGAACAGGAGAUGGCACAGCGUGGAGAGUCCACGCCCUCUGCUUCUACCACACUGUCUGUGUGACACCUGUCCAGCCAGGGUUCCUGCCAGUGCAGCGUGCGAGACCAAACUGCUGUGCUACCCUCCCCUGCCUGCUCAAAGUCGCCAGCCCAUCCCGCCUGCAUGGAGCAUUCCCCAGCUCAAAUGUCCAAGCAGAUUCACGUUGCCGAAGCCACGUGCCCUUUGCUGCCCGGGACAUGGACAACACCCCGUUCCAAGGCCCUCACCUUUCUCACGGUCUGUGGCAGCCAGUCCCUGGCCCCCCUACUCCCCCUCUGAGCGAUGCCUCUGCAGUCUCCACGUUGGUCACUUUCCUUUGCUCCCGUCUACAAUCUCGGUUCCUUCUUGCUUCCAACCUUGCCCUGGGCUAACCUCACCCUGUUCCCGAUCCUGGGUGGUCACUGCACCACCCAGGCCUUUUACCAAGAGGACCUGAGUUCACCCUUCUGCCUUGUAUGCCGACGGGUUCUCUGACCACCCACUCUCCGGGGGUAAUCUCAGCUGAGCCCCACGCCCCAACGGGCUAGGUAUCUUAUGUGCAUCUGCACCCACAUAUUCCACAGGCCUUCAAGUAACCAGGUGACCCUAAAGCGGAGUCCCUUCUGACAUGGGUGGUGCUGACACCCACACAAUUCCUGAAACUCCUACGGUUGCCCUUAGCACUCCAUGAAUGCCCUGGAAUUCUCUGGAAGAGGCCAGUCACAGUGUCACAUAGCCUGAGGGCUGUGGAAAGUCUCUUGUGAGGGCUUCAUCCCAGGCAGAAACUCCCAGAUGCGUCCUGAACAGAGGUCCUGGGUUUGGUGGCCCCCACCAUGAAUUGGGAUGAGAGGACCUGGACCUGAGGAGGCUGCACCUUCAUAUCCUCUAUGAACAGUGUGCGGAGCAUGUACCUGGAGAAGCAGGAGGUUCCAAUUCUGAUACAGCAGCUCAGGACAAAAGGUGCAUCCCCUUGGAGGUGCAGAAAACAAGGGCGUGCUGAACGUUAGUUUUCACCCCGGUCUCCUGGUGCUAGGUAGCCUUGUCUCUCGGCACACAAGUUCAAUCGAUUGCACAAAUCAGAAGGGAAGAAAUGCAACACGACAACGCACCAAGAGCUGAUUCACCAACACUGGCCGACAUGACCCCUGAGCCACAUUUCGUUUUCACGAGACUAUUUUGCUCAGUCUCAGGAAUGUAUCAAAGAAUUAAUUCAGUACCUUUGCAAAUAACUCCAGUACCAGGCCGUCACAAGAAAUAAACGCGCUAUGUUUCAUCAGCAAGUGCGAGCUUCUACCAUCAACACUUUAUCUGCAGGAUCUAAAGCACACCAGCACAAUGACAAAGCCCUGCUUUUAUGUUCCAGGAGCAGCGUCCUAACAGGGCAGGUCCAUGUCCACAGCCGAGGCCUAGGCAUGGCCUGGCGGAGUUGCCAAGUCCUGGCCCCCAAUCUGUGGGGAGGGCACCCCUGUAUCUGUCCUUUAGAAUCACCCCAGGGCAGAUGUGCACACAGGCUGGUUUAGACACAUACGCACAGGAGCACGGUACCUGUGUUGCUUUAAAAUAUCAUCUUGCAGUUUUAGCUGUCUGCUGUUUAGCAUUUUGGAAGUUUUGUAUGAGGUACCUCUCUUUCGCGAGCUGCCUUUGCCUUGCUUAUCUCCUGCAGUCGUAUUUGAAUCAUUUCCAGGACUCGGCUGUGUUCAGGCCACGACUGCCCCUUUCCUACUGGAUACCCAGGUAGGCCCCAUGGGAGAGAGAAGGCCUCCUGGGGUGGAAGGAUCUGGAACCCCGUUGUCUUGGUAACCACUCUGCUGUUCCUUGCUGCUAGCUGGCUGAGCUCAGGCCAGGGUCCUCUGGGGUGAGAAGACAGCCCUCCCCAUUCUGAUGAAGCUCAGGGCUGAGGCUGGUUUCCAGGGAAACUGAAGCCUGGCCCUUGAGACUCAUGAACAGCCAAGCAUGCACUGGGAUAGAGUAUGCAGGAUGGAGUCCCGGAGCCUGCCCGUGGACCAGAAUGGUGAGCCAAUACUGAUGGGUGGAGACUCUCGACUGGGCAUGCAUACAGACACACAUGGAGACUGCACUCACCAGCACGCCUUCUGCCCAGAGGUGCACAGUGGCCGUGUCUGGCUGGAGCGUCAAACACAUGGACGAUGCAGGACCCAGAACCCGCAAAGAGAGGGGGAGAUUCCUUACUGUGGUACAAAACGAUCCCAUAGCCUCCAACCCUGACUUAUGUGCACAUAGGCAUUACAUUAUAAAAAGAGCUCUAUGGAAGUACAAUCACCACACGAUAGUAUUCAUGCAACUAAGGAUACAGCGCAGUGACUGAGACAAUCUGCAGUGAUGCAGCCACCAGCACAGAGCAGUGUAACACCAGUUCCAUCACCCGCCUGAGGACCCCUUGCUCCUGCCAGUGCUCCCUCCCCACGACACCUGGAAGCCCAGGCAACUACUGAGGUCUUCCCCAUCUCUGUAGAUUUGCCCUCCUGUACUUUUCCUCCAAAGUGCCUCCUGCAAUAUGUGCCUCCUGUGUCUGGUUCUGUCCCUUCUGUGGCAGGUAUGAGUAGGAAGGCUCUGUUUAGCGUUCUGGAAUAUUCUGCCUAUGGAGAUAACACCUUUAGUUCACUCCUGUGCUGACUGGCAGACGUGUAGUUUCUAGUCUGCGCCCGCCAUGAACAUGGCAAGGAACAUCUGAGCAUGUGACUAGUGUGGACAUACGCCUUCCUUCAAUUUCCCCACGUUUCCAUUAGUUUCUGUUACAGGACUGCACUGGCUAGAGACGGCAGUGGGACAUAGGGUAGAUGUGGUACGAGGAGAUGCCAUUCCCCUGCUCAGGAUCUGAAGUGGAAAGCUUUCAUUCUUUCACUAGCAAAUAGGAUAUGAUCUGGGGGUUUCUCAUAAAUGCCUGUUAGAGAGAGGGAGUGGGAGUGGGAGAGAGAGAGAGAUGGAAUUUUCCAAGUGGUUCAGUCCUCAAAUAGCUUGACAGCUGGCCUGGGUAAGCCCAAGGCCAGGAACCAGAAACUUCAUCAUCCUGGUCUCCCACAUGGGAGGCAGGGACCCACACACUUGGGCCAUUAUGCGCUGCAUUCCCAGGCAUCUUAGCAGGAGGCUGUGUUGCAAAUGGUGUAGCCAGAUCUUGAUCCGGUGUUCAAUAUGGGAUGGCUGCAUUGCAAGCAGCCUCUUAGCCUACUGCAGCACAAACUUAAGAAACUAGGUUCUGUUUCAUCAUGAAUGGGUCUUGCAUUUGUGUAAUGCUUUUUCUUUGCCUAUUAAUAUGGUGCUGUGAUUCUACUCUCUGUUUUAUUAACAUGUUGAAUUACUGCCAUUGAAUUUUGAAGGUGAAAUUAACCUUGCAGUCCUAGGAUCAGUCUCACUUGGUCACAUUGGAUGGUCAUAUGUGUACGAUGCUGGAUCUGGUUUGCCAAUACAUUGUGGGUGGUGUUGGCAUCGCUAUUCAUCAUCUGCUUUGGCUUACACUAUUACUGUGACGUGUGUAUUUGGCUUUAGUGGUCGUGUAGCACUAUUGUCACCCUACACGAUGGCACGUGUUCCCUUUCUUGCACGUCCCAAAAUAGUUGGGGAAGGUCUCGUAUUAUUUCUUCUACGAACGUGGACUGACUUUACCCACAAAGGAAACUGGGUCUGGGCUGUCACCCGAGGGAAGAUUUUAAAAUAGAUGCUCUCAAUUUCCUCCCUUA
Oryctolagus cuniculus (rabbit) is the source of this 6525-nucleotide non-coding RNA. The record is from RefSeq and is a predicted model, not a curated record. NCBI's taxonomy places the organism in Eukaryota, Metazoa, Chordata, Mammalia, Lagomorpha, Leporidae.